UAAAGGCCAAACUCGUAACUCAAAUAUUUUACCUCUAUGAUCAUAUCAUAGAAACUUUUAUAUUCUUGUUACGAUGAUUCUCCACUUCACUCUGAAAUUCUUUGAACUUUUCAAAUGUUUCAGGUUUGUGCUUCAUUAAGUAGAUAUACCCAUAUCUUCUCAAAUCAUGUGUGAAGGUCAGAAAAUAACGAUACCUGCCGUGGGCCUCAACACUCAUCGGACUGCAUACAUCAGUAUGUAUUAUUUCCAACAAGUCUGUUGCUCGCUCCAUUGUUCCGGAGAACGGAGUCUUAGUCAUCUUGCCCAUGAGGCAUGGUUCGCAAGCAUCAACUGAUUCAUAAUCAAGUGACUCCAAAAGCCCAUCGGCAUGGAUUUUCUUCAUGCGCUUUACACCGAUAUGACCUAAACGGCAGUGCCACAAAUAAGUUGCACUAUCAUUAUCAACUAUGCAUCUUUUGGCAUCAAUAUUAGGAAUAUGUGUAUCACUACGAUCGAGAUCCAACAAACUAUUUUCAUUGGGUGUAUGACCAUCAAAGGUUUUUUCAUGUAAAUAGAACAACAAUUAUUCUCUAAUUUUAAAUGAAUAACCGUAUUGCAAUAAACAUGAUAAAAUCAUAUUCAUGCUCAAUGCAAACGCCAAAUAACAUUUAUUUAGGUUUAACACUAAUCCCGAAAGUAUAGGGAGUGUGCAAUGAUGAUCAUAUCAAUCUUGGAACCACUUCCAACACACAUCGUCACUUCACCCUCAACUAGUCUCUGUUUAUUCUGUAACUCCUGUUUCGAGUUACUAAUUUUUAGCAACCGAACAAGUAUCAAAUACCUAGGGGCUACUAUAAACACUAGUAAGGUACACAUCAAUAACCUGUAUAUCAAAUAUACCCUUGUUCACUUUGCCAUCCUUCUUAUCCACCAAAUAUUCAGGGCAUUUCCGCUUCUAGUGACCAUUUCCUUUGCAGUAGAAGCACUCAGUUUCAGGCUUUAAUCUAGCUUUGGGCUUCUUCAUGGAAGUGACAACUUGCUUGCCAUUCUACAUGAAGUUCCCUUUAUUUCCCUUUGCCCUUUUCUUGAAACUAGUGGUCUUGUUAAUCAUCAACACUUGAUGCUCUUUCUUGAUUUCUACCUUCAUCGAUUUCAUCAUCAUGAAAAACUCGGGAAUCGUUUUCGUCAUCCCUUGCAUACUAUAAUUCAUCAUGAAGUUCUACUACCUUGGUGAUGGUGACUAGAGAAUUCUGUCAAUCACUAUCUUAUCUGGAAGAUUAACUCCCACUUGAUUCAAGCGAUUGUAGUAACCAGACAAUCUGAGCACAUGCUCACUGCUUGAGCUAUUCUCCUCCAUCUUUUAGCUAUAGAACUUGUUGGAGACUUCAUAUCUCUCAACUCAAGUAUUUGCUUGAAAUAUUAAAUUCAACUCUUGGAACAUCUCAUAUGGCCCAUGACGUUCAAAACAUCUUUGACGUCCCGAUUCUAAGUGGUUAAGCAUGGUGCACUAAACUAUCAAGUAGCCAUCAUAUUGAGCUAGCGAAACGUUCAUAAUAUCUGCAUCUUCUCCUGCAAUAGGUCUGUCACCUAGCGGUGCAUCAAGGACAUAAUUCUUCUGUGCAGCAAUGAGGAUAAACCUCAGAUCACGGACCCAGUCCGCAUCAUUGCUACUAUCAUCUUUCAACUUAGUUUUCUCUAGGAACACAUAUAAAACAUAGGGAAGCAAUAACGCGAGCUAUUGAUGUACAACAUUAUUUGUAAAAUACUAUCAGGACUAAGUUCAUGAUAAAUUAAAGUUCAAUUAAUCAUAUUACUUAAGAACUCCCACUUAGAUAGACAUCCCUCUAAUCAUCUAAGUGAUCACGUGAUCCAAAUCAACUAAACCAUGUCCGAUCAUCACGUGAGAUGGAGUAGUUUUCAAUGGUGAACAUCACUAUGUUGAUCAUAUCUACUAUAUGAUUCAUGCUCGACCUUUCGGUCUCCAGUGUUCCGAGGCCAUAUCUGCAUAUGCUAGGCUCGUCAAGUUUAACCUGAGUAUUUCACGUGUGCAAAACUGUCUUGCACCUGUUGUAUUUCAAUGUAGAGCUUAUCACACCCGAUCAUCACGUGGUGUCUCAGCACGAAGAACUUUCGCAAUGGUGCAUACUCAGGGAGAACACUUAUACCUUGAAAUUUAGUGAGAUAUCAUCUUACAAAGCAACCGUCGAACUAAGAAAAAUAAGAUGUAUAAAAUAUAAACAUCACAUGCAAUCAAAAUAUGUGACAUGAUAUGGCCAUCAUCAUCUUGUCCUUUUGAUCUCCAUCUCCAAAGUAUUGUCAUGAUCUUCAUUGUUACCGGCAUGACACUAUGAUCUCCAUCAUCUUGAUCUUUUAUCAACAUUUCAUCACAUGGUCGUCUCACCAGCUAUUGCUUUGGCAACUAUUUCUAUCAUAUAGCAAUAAAGUAAAGCAAUUACAUGGCACUUGCAUCUUAUGCAAAUAAAGAGACAACCAUAAGGCUCCUGCCAGUUGCCGAUAACUUUAACAAAACAUGAUCAUCUCAUACAACAAUUUAUAUCUCAUCAUGUCUUGACAAUAUCACAUCACAACAUGCCCUGCAAAAACAAGUUAGACGUCCUCUACUUUGUUGUUGCAAGUUUUACGUGGCUGCUACGGGUUGAGUAAGAACUGUUCUUACCUACGCAUCAAAACCACAAUGAUAGUUCGUCAAGUUAGUGUUGUUUUAACCUUCACAAGGACCGGGCGUAGCCACACUCUGUUCAACUAAAGUUGGAGAAACUAACACCCGCCAGCCACCUGUGUGCAAAGCACGUCGGUAGAACCAGUCUCGCGUAAGCGUACGCGUAAUGUCAGUCCGGGCCGCUUCAUCCAACAAUAUCGCCGAACGAAAGUAUGACAUGCUGGUAAGAAGUAUGACUUGUAUUGCCCACAACUCACUUGUGUUCUACUCGUGCAUAUAACAUCUACGCAUAAACCUAGCUCGGAUGCCACUAUUGGGGAACGUAGUAAUUUCAAAAAUUUCCUACGCACACGUAGGAUCAUGAUGAUGCAUAGCAAUGAGAGUGGAGAGUCUGUCCACGUACCCUCGUAGACCGAAAGAGGAAGCGUUAGAACAACGUGGUUGAUGUAGUCGUACAUCUUCAUGAUCCGACUGAUCCAAGUACCGAACGCACGGCACCUCCGAGUUCAGCACACGUUCAGCUCGAUGACAUCCCACGAACUCCGAUCCAGCAGAGCUUCGUGGGAGAGUUCCGUCAGCGUGACGGCGUGUUGGCGGUGAUGAUGAUGCUACCGACAUAGGGCUUUGCCUAAGCACCGCUACGAUAUGAUCGAGGUGGAUUAUGGUGGAGGGGGGCACCGUACACGGCUAAAAGAUCAAUCAUCAAUUCUUGUGUCUCCAAGGGGUGCCCCCGUCCCCGUAUAUAAAGGAGUGGAGGAGGGGGAGGGCCGGCCCUCUCUAUGGCGCUCCCUAGGGGAGUCCUACUCACACCGGGAGUAGGAUUCCCCCUUUCCUAGUAGAACUAGGAGCCCUUCCAAGUACUAGGAGUAGGAGAGAAGGAAAGGGAAACAAGAAGAGAAGGAAGGAGGGGGCGCCGCCCCUCCCCCUAGUCCAAUAAGGCCUAUAUACUCCCCGACGAAUUCUUGUAACUCUCUGGUACUCCGAAAAAUGCCCGAAUCACUCGGAACCUUUCCGAUGUACGAAUAUAGUUGUCCAAUAUAUCGAUCUUUACAUAUCAACCAUUUUGAGAUUCCUCGUCAUGUUCCCGAUCUCAUCCGGGACUCCGAACUACCUUCGGUACAUCAAAUCACAUAAACUCAUAAUACCGAUUGUCACUGAACUUUAAGCAUGCGGACCCUACGGCUUCGAGAACUAUGUAGACAUGACCGAGACACGUCUCCGGUCAAUAACCAAUAGCGGAACCUGGAUGCUCAUAUUGGCUCCCACAUAUUCUACGAAGAUCUUUAUCGGUCAAACCGCAUAACAACAUACGUUGUUCCCUUUGUUAUCGGUAUGUUACUUGCCCGAGAUUCGGUGGCCGGUAUCUCAAUACCUAGUUCAACCUCGUUACCGGCAAGUCUCUUUACUCGUUCCAUAAUACAUCAUCCCGCAACUAACUCAUUAGUUACAAUGCUUGCAAAGCUUAUAGUGAUGUGCAUUACCGAGUGCACACAGAGAUACCUCUCCGACAAUCGGAGUGACAAAUCCUAAUCUCGAAAUACGCCAACUCAACAAGUACCUUCGGAUUCACCUGUAGAGCACCUUUAUAAUCACCCAAUUAUGUUGUGACAUUUGGUAGCACACAAAGUGUUCCUCCGGUAAACGGGAGUUGCAUAAUCUCAUAGUCAUAGGAACAUAAGUCAUGAAGAAAGCAAUAGCAACAUACUAAACGAUCAAGUGCUAAGCUAACAGAAUGGGUCAAGUCAAUCACAUCAUUCUCCUAAUGAUGUGAUCCCGUUAAUCAAAUGACAACUCAUGUCUAUGGUUAGGAAACUUAACCAUCUUUGAUUUACGAGCUAGUCAAGUAGAGGCACACUAGUGACACUAUGUUUGUCUAUGUAUUCACACAUGUAUUAUGUUUCCGGUUAAUACAAUUCUAGCUUGAAUAAUAAACAUUUAUCAUGAAAUAAGGAAAUGAAUAAUAACUUUAUUAUUGCCUCUAGGGCAUAUUUCCUUCAUAUCAGUUCCCCAUCACAUGUUCAGAUUCCAAGGUGCAUUAAAUCAUUGCAUGCAAGUACUAAGAGAAAAUUGACCAAUGCAUGUACUUUAUGCAUGCAUGUAUUGCAAUUAAUACAUUGGUAAACAUAAUUUUUUUAGGAAAAGAAAAGCAUUGAUUGGGUGUUUUUGCAAACUACAAAAAGUAUUCCACCACUCACCAUCUACCUUGGUUGGUGUGAUUUUUGAAUUGAGCACUAUAAACCGAAAAGAAGGAGUAUGAUACUAGCUAGUCUAUGAUAUACUAGCUACCUCACUAAGAGCAUGGUUAAUAAUACAGCCAACUGUCGGCAAUAAGAAGUUGCCAUGUCAUAUACAGCCAACCUCUUAGCCGGCAUGUACAAUAAUAAGUUUUAAAUACGUAGUAGUUUAUCAAUAGUCGGCCCACCUUACAUCCUCACAAAGUGUCUUGGGUCUCGUGUUGCAGCUGGCUCUACUAACCAAGAGCUCGCUUCUCUUAUUUCUCCUCUUCUCUUUCCUACAACUAAUAAGCACAUAUAUAUUAUUCUAUUCCUUAUAGCCUGCUUAUGUCACUCUAUUGUACUUGCUCUAAGACUAGCCACAAUGGAGAGUAACAUACACUAGUAACAUACACAUAUCCCUAGACUAUGUUACUACCUUUCGUAGUGGGUAGUAACAUAAGUAUGGUAACAUGCAAAGCCUCAUUUAUUAGGUUAUAGACUCAUAUUGCAUUGAGACAUGUGAUGUUACAGUAACUAGCUAAGUUACUCAAACUACCUCUCUGCUCAUUAACUCGUUGCCACAUAAGCAAAUUUGUUUAGUUGGACUCGAUGUUAUUGCUGAAGUUACUCCCACUAUGGAUAGUCUAAUGCAUAGUAUCAUAGAGUAGUAUCAUAUGUAGUACUUUAUUUAUUGUCAUUCAUGACACAUACUCCCUCCUUUCCGGUUUAUAAGGCUUAUUUCAACUUUUUUGUUUUCCCAAUUUAGAGGGCUCAUCUCCAUCUCAUUUUUAGUUUCCAAUGCGCAUUAAAUCUUUGCAUGCAAUAAUUAAAGAGGAACACACCAAUGCAUGUAAUCUUCCUACUCAUCUAGUGGCCAAGCAUGCAUGCACUGCAAUUAAUCCAAAGUAAUGCAUGAGUUUAAUUGGGGUAGUUUUGUAAAGUAUGAGAUACAUUCCUCCACUCACAAAUGCCUUGGUUGAUGAGAUUUGAGAUUUGAGCCUUAUAAACUGGAAAGGAGGGAGUAGUAGCAUAGCAUUUAUUAUGAUACAGUUUCAUGAUAUGAUACUUAACCCUCUCUUUCUUCAUUUAAUUCUAUGACAGCUCAUCAAAAUUUCCUAGUUGGCAUGCAUGAUACUAGCUAUGAUACCCCCUUACUAUCAGCCUAGCAAAGAAGGUGUACAGAUCAUUUGUGCAUCACUUUGUGAGUUUUCAUCCGUUUGCUCGAGAAGCGGGGAGAACUUUCAAACAUUUCGGCCGCGAGGUGCGGCCACUUGCGUAGGCCCAGUUGGUAUUUUAAUUAUAGGAAAUUCAUAUGGAGUUCGGACAUCAUCAAAAUCGAUGUGUGCCCGUGGCAUGCUCUCACGACCCCAUGGAAAAAAUCGAUAAAGUUUGGCACAAGUUUUGAUGACCGCUACUUCCAAAUCGGAGCAUCUCACAUGAAGGAUCAUCGUUUCCAAAAGGAGACAUGUCAAUUCAAACUCCUGUGGCUAGUGACUUCAUCGUUUGUCCUCAUAAAAAUUUCCACGGUACGCAAUCACCAUUAUACCAUGGGUUUGAUUUUCUGGCGCAUUUCAGGUAUCGUUAGCUAUAUUUAAGACAUUUUUUGAGAUUAAUGUGCAUUUUGUGCAUAAAAAUAAAAUUACAACUAAAAAUGCAUGUGCUGUUGAAAGGGCUGAGGAUCGUCGUUCGAUCUGGGAGCAUCCAAUGGUGCAGACAUACGAUCCAUGGGGUUUGGGUUAUGGCCAAUCAGAAAGCAUGACUCGGAUCCUGGGAAGGGUUUGGUCGGCACACGGCUUUCAUCAACGAACCUUGUGUUAUUCGCAAACCAGAUUGCAUAUUUUUGUUCACACAUACCGUAGUCAGAUCAAUUGAGUGUGCUACCUCUAUGGUAUAAUAAUAAUAACAAAAAAUAGUUCAUAUUCAUUGCCUGAGCUGUCAACAUAUUAACGAUUCUUACAUCAACACAAAACCGGGCAUAAUUCACAAAUCUAGUACACGCGACAGUUCUAAAUUGAACGAAUUAAGUUGCAGGGUAGGCAUAAAGACUAGUCUUACGGCUUAAUUCCCAUGUACAUGGGGGAACUGGGAUCAUUACGUUGACCCCGAAUGAACUUGGGUUUUCUGAUGAUUUUACGCUUCUCUGUUACAUGGGUGCGUGAUCCCUUGGCUGGCAACUCAUCAAAUUCAUCGUACUCGGCCUCAUCGGCAACAUCGUCGACACCCAGUACCCUUCUCUUCCCAUGCAUCACUACAUGGUAGUUCUUAUGCAAGGGGUGUUCCACAAAGAAAAUCUGGGUAGCAUCGAUGGCAAGAAUGAAUGGGUCCGCGUGAUAUGCCAUUGUUGUCCUGUUAACACAGGUCUUCCUAUACUCAUCAAUCCUUACCUGACCAAGAGGGAUCCAUGCACACCUGAAUAAUGCCACCUGAACUUUCACAUAGUCAAGCUCCCAAAUCCCUUUGAUGGUUUCAUAGUAUACCAUUUUAUCAGCUUCAUUUACAGUCAUGCAUUCUGUUCGAACAGAGUUAUUCUGAUAUGAGGUCUUAUGAUCACGUUCCUGAGUGUAGAACGUGUAUCCAUUUAUGUCAUAUGCUUGGUACAUCAACACCAUAGGGGAUGGCUUUUGUGCCAACCACGUAGCAAUGUCAUCCAUGGAUCCUUGUGCCAAACGUAUCUCUGCGAAGUGUUCUUUGGCAUACGCACUAAGAACUGGGCUGUUAAACAGUACCUUCAAAUGGGCUUUCUCUGCCAAUUCUCCAGGUGCAGCCAUUUGCGUGCUAGCCAGGACCGGCUUACCUUUCAGCCUUUCCUCGUGGCGCGAGAGGGGCAAACCUAUAGGUAUUUGUUUCAUGUAUUCGGUGCAAAACUCAACCACCUCCACUGUGGUAUAACCUUGUAGGAUGCUUGCCUCUAGAUGGUUUCGGUUCUGACAAAAGUGCUUCAGUAUUCCCAUGAACCGCUCAAAAGGAUACAUGUUGCGAAGAAACACAGGACCACAAUACUUUAUCUCGUCAACAAGGUGCACAGUGAGAUGGACCAUGACAUCAAAGAAUGAAGGUGGGAAAAACAUCUCUAGGUUGGACAAUAUUCUUGCAAUAUCAUCUUGCAUAUGAUCCAACUCUUCAGGAUCUACAACUUUCUGCGAUAGUUGGUUGAAGAAUGUGUUUCUUAUAUCUUUGUCCAUCAGAUUCCUGAUGGACACCGGAAGGAUCUGUCUCAACAUUACGUGGCAAUCAUGUGACUUCAAUGUGUCCCAACUUCAUUUUACCUGAGCUCACAUCCAUGACACUUCUGAUGUUUGCGCAGUAGGAAGAGGGUGCCUUAACUGACAACAAAUAGGUGAAGAACUGUGUUGCUUCUUUUGUACUAAAAUUGUAACUCUGGCGAGCUUUGAUGAAUUUGUCAUCGUCUUCUGCUUCACUCUUGCAUUUUGAUUGAUCAGCAAGCAUAUCGAGCCAUGAACCGUCACCAUCCUUUCUUUUACCUUUAAUCUUGAGCAGAGUACCAAGGAUGCUUUCACAUACGUUCUUCUCUACGUGCAUGACAUCAAUGCAGUGACGUAAACGUAGAAUCUCCCAGUAAGGUAAUUUCCAGAACACCGAUUUCUUCUUGAACACUUGACCCUUGGGUGUUUGUUUCAUCGUCAAAGGGUGGUUCUUUCCAAGCACAACAUUAAUUGUUUUAGCCAUGUUGUGGACCAUCUCCCCUUCAUAGGUUCUUGGGCCCACAUCUGCCUCUGUCGUACCAUCAAAUUCAGUUUUCAUCUUUUGGUAUGGGUGAGUUUUCCGUAAGAACCUACGAUGGCGCAAAUACACGGUUUUGUGCGAGUCGGGAAGUCUUCUGCUAGCUGUCCUAUCCAUGCAUGUGACACACCCUACAUCUCCCUUUAUUUUCUGCCCCCAAUGUGUUGCCUAAUGUCGGCAUAUCUUGAAUGGUGUGCACCAGCAUCGCAUGUAGAUCAAAAAUCUCCUUUCUGUAAGCAUCAUAACAUUUUACAGCAGGCGCAUCUAUCCACACUGUCAACAGUUCUUCUACCAGUAGCUGAAAGUAAAUGUCAAUGCCAUUUCCAGGUUGCUUUGGGCCUUGGAUAAUCAUUGAUACCAUAGUGCAUUUUUUCUUCAUACACAACCAAGGAGCUAGGUUAUAUAUGUUGGGAAACGUAGUAAUUCAAAAAAAAUCAUAUGAUCAUGCAAGAUCUAUCUAGGAGAUGCAUAGCAAUGAGAGAGCAGAGUGUGUCUAUGUACCCUCGUAGACCAAAAGCAGAAGCGUUAAGUUAACGCGGUUGAUGUAGUCAAACGUCUUAACGAUCCAACAGAUCCAAGUACCUAGCAUACGACACCUCCGUGUUCAGCACAUGUUCAGCACGAUGACGUCCCUCGAGCUCUUGAUCCAGUUGAGGGUAGAGGGAUAGCUCCGUUAUCAUGACGGCGCGGCGACAGUGUUGGUGAUGUGAUCCGCACAGAGCUUCUCCUAAGCACUGCGACAACAUGACCAAGGUGGUAAACUGUGGAGGGGGCACCGCACACGGCUAAAGAACAAUUGGUGUGUUUUUGGGGUGCCCCCUGCCCUCGUAUAUAAAGGAGGAGGGGAAGAGGUGGCCAGAAUAGGGGGACGCGCCAAAGGGGGGAGUCCAACUAGGACGCCCAAUCCUAGUUGGACUCCCUUUCCUUUCCGGAAGGGGAAAGAGGGAAAGGAGAGGAAGAGGAGAAGGAAAGGGGGGUGCCCCCCUCCCUAGUCCAAUUCGACUCCCUAUAGGGAGGGGGUGCGGCUACCCCUUGUGGGCUGCCUCCCUCUCCCCUAUGGCCCAUGUAGGCCCAAUAUUCCCCCGGGGGGUUCCAGUAACCCCUCGGUACUUCGGAAAAAUACCUGAAUCACUUGAAACCAUUCUGAUAUCCGAAUACAACCUUCCAAUAUAUGAAUCUUUACCUCUAGACCAUUCUGAGACUCCUCGUCAUGUCCGUGAUCUCAUCCAGGACUCUGAACAAACUUCGGUCACCAAAACACAUAACUCAUAAUACAAAUCGUCAUCGAACGUUAAGCGUGCGGACCCUCCGAGUUCGAGAACUAUAUAGACAUGACCGAGACACAUCUCUGGUCAAUAACCAAUAGAACAACCUGGAUGCUCAUAUUGGUUCCUACAUAUUCUACGAAGAUCUUUAUCGGUCAAACCGCAUAAAAACAUACGUUAUUCCCUUUGUCAUCGGUAUGUUACUUGCCCGAGAUUUGAUCGUCGGUAUCAUCAUACCUAGUUCAAUAUCAUUACUGGCAAGUCUUUUUACUCGUUCCGUAAAGCAUCAUCCUGCAACUAACUCAUUAGUUACAUUGCUUGCAAGGCUUAUAGUGACGUGCAUUACCGAGAGGCCCAGAGAUACCUCUCCGAUACACAGAGUGACAAAUCCUAAUCUCGAUCUAUGCCAACUCAACAAACACCUUCGGAGACACCUGUAGAGCAUCUUUAUAAUCACCCAGUUAUGUUGUGACGUUUGAUAACACACAAGGUGUUCCUCCGGUAUUCGGGAGUUGCAUAAUCUCAUAGUCAGAGGAAUAUGUAUAAGGCAUGAAGAAAGUAAUAGCAAUAAAACUAAACGAUCAUAAUGCUAAGCUAAUGGAUGGGUCUUGUCCAUCACAUCAUUCUCUAAUGAUGUGAUCUCGUUCAUCAAAUGACAACACAUGUCUAUGGUUAGGAAACUUAACCAUUUUUUAUUAACGAGCUAGUCUAGUAGAGGCUUACUAGGGACACUGUGUUUUGUCUAUGUAUCCACCCAUGUACGAAGUUUCCGGUUAAUACAAUUCUAGCAUGAAUAAUAAACAUUUAUCAUGAUAUAAGGAAAUAUAAAAUAACAACUUUAUUAUUGCCUCUAGGGCAUAUUUCCUUCAAUAUAUGCACAGAAGUACCGGCCAUGUGCUGUGAUUGGUGCUCAUAUAGCCAAAAGGAUUCAUCCUGUCAGUACACUCCCCGAGCCUUAUACUUCUAGGAUCCUUGGCUAAGUCUACAUACUUGUUGUCGAUUAAUUCCCACUGAGCCCCAUCUUUCAGGUGCCUCGUAAACUUAUCCACAAUUCACUCAUCAUGAUGCCACCACAACCUCUUUGCCUCUCUAGGGUUUGCAAACAAACGCCUCAACCUUGGAAUUGAAGGCAGGUACCAAACAACCUUGAACGGGAUUCCUGUCUUGAUCUCGUUGUCCAAUUUGUACUUGUCUUUUGCUCUCCUGCGCUUGUAUCAUGCAUGCUUGCAUGUGGGACAUGCACGCAAAUCUUUGUACUCACCACGGUAGAAUAUACAAUCAUUCACAGAAGUGUGUAUCUUCUGUACUUCAAGUUCCAAUGGCCAAACAAUUUUCUUUGCUUUAUUCGUGCUUCUGGGGAGCACAUUAUCUUCCGGAAGAAUUUCUUUGAAAAGACCUAACAUCUCUAUGAAGCCCUUGUUUGAUGGACUGUUUGCUGCUUUAAAUCUGAGAAGUGCCAGGGUAGCACUCAACUUGGAAUAUUUCUAUUUGCAACCUGGAUACAAUUCUUUCUUGGAGUCCGCAUCAAUGGUUGGUAGAUCCUUGUACCCAAUCAUAUCCUUUUUUGGGCCCUCGAAAUCUGCAAUCAUAGUAGCAAAAUCUGGCAUAUCAAGAUCUUCGUCAUCUGCGUCGACGUCUUGGUUUUCCAGUGGGCGUUUCGGGUUUCCGGUGUUUCUUUGGUAGCUUGACGCCUCUGCCCCGAUGUUAGAUUCAACAUCCUAUUGGGGAACGUAGUAAUUUCAAAAAAACUCCUACGCACACGCAAGAUCAUGGUGAUGCAUAGUAAUGAGAGGGAAGAGUGUUGUCUAUGUACCCUCGUAAACCGUAAGGGGAAGCGUUAUGACAACACGGUUGAUGUAGUCGUACGUCUUCACGAUCGACCGAUCCCAGCACCAAAGGUACGACACCUCCGCGAUCUGCACACAUUCAGCUCGGUGACGUCCCGCGAGCUCACGAUCUAGUAGAGCUUCAAGGGAGAGCUUCGUCAGCACGACGGCGUGAUGACGGUGAUGAUGUUGCUACCGGAAUAGGGCUUUGCCUAAGCACCGCUACGAUAUGACCGAGGUAGAUUAUGGUGGAGGCGGGCACCGCACACGGCUUGGAACAAUCAACUUGUGUGUCCUAGGGGUGCCCCCCUGCCCCCCCCCCCCCGUAUAUAAAGGAGCAAGGGGGAGGUCGGCCGGCCCUAGUGGCACCCAAGGAGAGGAGGAAUUAUACGUCCAUUUUGCAUCAUGCUUUUAUAUCGAUAUUUAUUGCAUUAUGAGUUGUUAUUGCACAUUAUGUCAUAAUACUUAUGACUAUUCUCUCUUAUUUUACAAGGUUUACAUGAAGAGGGGGAAUGCCAGCAGCUGGAAUUCUGGGCUGGAAAAGGAGAAAAUCUUAGAUACCUAUUCUACACAGCUCCAAAAGUCCUGAAACUCCACGAGAGUCAUUUUCAAAAUAUAAAAAAAAUAUCGGGCGAAGGAAGCACCAGAGGGGAGCCAUCCACCAUCCACGAAGGUGGGGGCGCGCCCCCCUACCUCGUGGGCCCCCUGGCAGCCCUUUGGUUCCCAUCUUCUUCUAUAUGAGGUCUUUCACCUAGGAAAAAUCAUAAGCAAGCUCAUGGGGCGGAACUCUGCCGCCACGAGGCAGAACCAAUCUAGGGCUCCGGCAGAGCUGUUCUGCCGAGGAAACAUCCCUCCGAGAGGGGGAAAUCAUCACCAUCAUCAUCACCAUCAAUCCUCUCAUCGGGAAGGGGUCAAUCUCCAUCAACAUCUUCACCAGCACCAUCUCAUCUCAAACCCUAUUUCAUCUCUUGUAUCCAAUCUUUGUCUCAAAACCUCAGAUUGGUACCUGUGGGUUGCUAGUAGUGUUGAUUACUCCUUGUAGUUGAUACUAGUUGGUUUACUUGUUGGAAGAUCAUAUAUUCAGAUCCUUUAUGCAUAUUAAUAUCCUCUGAUUAUGAACAUGAAUAUGCUUUGUGAGUAGUUACGUUUGUUCCUGGGGACAUGAGAGAAGUCUUGCUAUAAGUAGUCGUGUGAAUUUGGCAUUCGUUUGAUAUUUUGAUGAGAUGUAUGACGUCUUUCCUCUGGUCGUGUCAUGUGAAUGUCGACUACAUGAAACUUCACCAUUGUUUGGGCCUAGGGGAAGGCAUUGGGAAGUAAUGAGUAGAUGAUGGGUCGCUAGAGUGACAGAAGCUUAAACCCUAGUUUAUGAGUUGCUUCGUAAGGGGCUGAUUUGGAUCCAUAUGUUUCAUGCUAUGGUUAGGUUCACCUUAAUACUUCUUUUGUAGUUGUGGAUUCUUGCAAAAGGGGUUAAUCAUAAGUGGGAUGCUUGUCCAGGGAAGGGUAGUACCCAAGCACCGGUCCACCCACAUAUCAAAUUAUCAAAGUACCGAACGUGAAUCAUAUGAGCGUGAUGAAAACUAGCUUGACGAUAAUUAGCAUGUGUCCACGGGAGGGUUUUCCUUUAUAUAAGAGUUUGUCCAGGCUUGUCCUUUGCUAUAAAAAGGAUUGGGCCAUCUUUCUCCAACUUAUUUACUUUUGUUACUUGUUACCCGUUACAAAUUACCUUAUCACAAAACUAUCUGUUACCGAUAAUUUCAGUUCUUGCAGAGAAUACCUUACUGAAAACUGCUUAUCAUUUCCUUCUACUCCUCGUUGGGUUCGACACUCUAACUUAUCAAAAGUACUAUGAUAUAUCCCCUAUACUUGUGGGUCAUCAAGACUCUUUUCUGGCACCGUUGCCGGGGAGUGAAGCGCCUUUGGUAGGUGGAAUUAGGUAAGGAAAAAAAUUAUAUAGUGUGCUGAGAUUUAGUGUCACUUGUUACUAUGGAACAUAAUCCUUUGAGGGGCUUGUUCGGGGUAUCUUUACCCCGACCAGUAGAGCAAAUAGUUGCUCCUCAACCUACUAAACCUACUGAAAAUGUUUACUUUGAAAUUCCUUCGGGUAUGAUAGAGAAACUGCUGGCUAAUCCUUUUACAGGAGAUGGAACAUUGCAUCCCGAUUUUCACCUGAUCUAUGUGGAUGAAGUUUGUGGAUUAUUUAAGCUUGUAGGUAUGCCCGAGGAUGUUAUCAAGAAGAAGGUAUUCCCUUUAUCUUUGAAGGGAAAGGCAUUGACAUGGUUUAUGCUAUGUGAUGAUAUGGGAUCAUGGAACUACAACCGAUUGAAAUUGGAAUUUCAUCAGAAGUUUUAUCCUAUGCAUCUUGUACAUCAUGAUCGUAAUUAUACAUAUAAUUUUUGGCCUCGCGAAGGAGAAAGCAUCGCUCAAUCUUGGGGGAGGCUUAAGUUAAUGUUAUAUUGAUGCCCCAAUCAUGAGCUCUCAAGAGAAAUUAUUAUUCAAAAAAUUAUGCUCGGCUUUCUCUUAAUGAUCGCUCCAUGCUCGAUACUUCUUGUACUGGUUCUUUUAUGAUGAAGACUAUUGAAUUCAAAUGGGAUUUAUUGUAGAGAAUUAAAUGCAACUCUGAAGAUUAGGAUCUCGAUGAAGGUAAGGAGACAGGUACAACCCCAAAGUUUGACUGUGUUAAAUCUUUUAUGGAUACCGAUGCCUUUCGUGAAUUUAGCACUAAAUAUGGACUUACUCUGAGAUAGUAGCUUAUUUCUAUGAAUCCUUUGCUACUCAUGUUGAUGUCCCUAAGGAGAAGUGGUUUAAAUAUAAUCCUACCAUUGAAGUAAAAGUAGUUGCACCUAUUAAAGUUGAAGAAAAGACUAUCACUUAUAAUGUUGAUCCUGUUGUUCCUACUGCUUAUAUUGAGAAACCACAUUUCCCUGUUAGAAUAAAGGAUCAUGCUAAAGCUUCAACUGUGGUUCAUAAGAGUAAUACUAGAACACCUACACCCUCUAAGAAAAUUAAAGUUGAACCUAGUAUUGCUAUGGUUAAAGAUCUCUUGGUCGAUAAUAUUGAUGGGCAUGUCAUUUACUUCUGUGAUGAAGCUGCUAGAAUUGCUAGACCCGAUACUAAAAAUAAACAUAGACCUGUUGUAGGCAUGCCUGUUAUUUCUGUUAAAAUAGGAGAUCAUUGCUAUCAUGGCUUAUGUGAUAUGGGUGCUACCACAAGUGCAAUACCUCAUUCCUUAUACAAAGAAAUUAUGCAUGAUAUUGCACCUGCUGAGAUAGAGGAAAUUGAUGUUACAAUUAAGCUUGCCAAUAGAGACACUAUUUCACUAGUUGGGAUUUUUAGAGAUGUUGAAGUAUUGUGUGGGAAAGUUAAAUAUCCAGCUGAUUUUAUUGUUCUUGGUUCCCCACAAGAUGAAUUUUUCCCAUUAUAUUUGGUAGACCCUUCUUGAAUACUGUUAAUGCUAAGAUGGAUUGCAAAAAGGAUGUUGUUACUAUUGGUUUGGGGGAUAUCUCUCAUGAGUUUAAUUUUGUAAAUUUUGUAGACAACCCCAUGAUAAAGAAUUGACUGGUAAAGAUGAAAUUAUUGGUCUUGCUUCUAUUGUCGUUCCUCCCAAUGAUCCUUUAGAACGGUAUUUGCUCGACCAUGAAAAUGAUAUGUUUAUGAAUGAAAGAAGGGAAAUAAAUGAAGUAUUCUUUAAACAGGGACCUAUUUUGAAACACAACUUUCCUGUUGAAAUUCUAGGGGAUCCUCCCCCGCCUAAGGGUGAUCCCGUGUUUAAGCUUAAUUAAACCUUUGCCUGAUACUCUUAAAUAUGCUUAUCUUGAUGAGAAAAAGAUAUAUCCUGUUAUUAUUAGUGCUAACCUUUCAGAGCAUGAAGAAAAGAAAUUAUUGGAAACUCUAAAGAAGCAUCGUGCUGCUAUUGGAUAUACUCUUGAUGAUCUUAAGGGCAUUAGUCCCACUCUAUGCCAGCACCAAAUCAAAUUGGAGAAAGUCGCGAAACCGGUUAUUGAUCACCAACGACGGUUAAAUCCAAAGAUGAAAGAAGUGGUAAGAAAAGAAACACUAAAGCUUCUGGAGACAGGUAUAAUUUAUCCCAUUGUUGACAGUCAGUUGGUAAGUCCUGUCCAUUGUGUCCCGAAGAAGGGAGGUAUUAUUGUUGUUCCUAAUGAUAAAGAUGAAUUGAUCCCACAAAGAAUUGUUACAGGUUAUAGAAUGGUAAUUGAUUUCCGCAAAUUAAAUAAAGCUACUAAAAAGGAUCAUUACCCUUUACCUUAUAUUGAUCAAAUGUUAAAAAUAUUAUCCAAACAUACACAUUUUGCUUUCUAGAUGGUUAUUCUGGUUUCUCUCAAAUACCUGUGUCAAAAGAGGAUCAAGAAAAGACAACUUUCACUUUCCCUUUCGAUACCUUUGCUUAUAGACGUAUGCCUUUUGGUUUAUGCAAUGCACCUGCUACCUUUCAAAAAUGUAUGACUCCUAUAUUCUCUAAUUUUUGUGAAAAGAUUGUUGAGGUUUUCAUGGAUGAUUUCUCCGUUUAUGGAACUUCUUUUGAUGAUUGCUUAAGCAACCUUGAUCGAGUUUUGCAGAGAUGUGAAGAAACUAAUAUUGUCUUGAAUUGGGAGAAGUGCCACUUUAUGGUUAAUGAAGGUAUUGUCUUGGGGCAUAAAAUUUAUGAAAGAGGUAUUGAAGUUGAUAAAGCUAAAGUUGAUGCUAUUGAAAAGAUGUCGUGUCCUAAGGACAUUAAAGGUAUAAGAAGUUUCCUUGGUCAUGCUGGUUUUUAUAGGAGGUUCAUUAAGGACUUCUCUAAAAUUUCUAGGCCUCUGACUAAUCUCUUACAAAAAGAUGUUCCUUUUGUCUUUGAUGAUGAUUGUGUAGAAGUAUUUGAAAUACUUAAGAAAGCUUUGAUUUCUGCACCUAUUGUUCAACCUCUUGACCGGAAUUUACCCUUUAAAAUUAUGUGUGAUGCUAGUGAUUAUGCUGUAGGUGUUGUUCUAGGACAAAGAGUUGAUAAGAAAUUAAAUGUUAUCCAAUAUGCUAGUAAAACUCUAGACAGUGCCCAAAGAAAUUAUGCUACUACUUAAAAAUAAUUUUUAGCAGUUGUAUUUGCUAGUGAUAAGUUCAAACCUUAUAGUGUUGAUUCUAAAGUAAUUGUUCACACUGAUCAUAUUGCUAUUAAAUAUCUUAUGGAAAAGAAAGAUGCUAAACCUAGACUUAUCAGAUGGGUUCUCUUGCUACAAGAAUUUGAUUUGCAUAUUAUUGAUAGAAAGGGAGCUGAGAACCCCGUUGCAGACAACUUGUCUAGGUUAGAGAAUGUUCUUGAUGACCCACUACCUAUUGAUGAUAGCUUUCUUGAUGAACAAUUAGCUGUCAUAAAUGCUUCUCGUACUACUCCAUGGUAUGCUGAUUAUGCUAUUUAUAUUGUUGCUAAAUUUAUACCACCUAGUUUCACAUACCAGCAAAAGAAAAAGGUUUUCUAUGAUUUAAGGCAUUACUUCUGGGAUGACCCACACCUUUAUAAACAAGGAGUAGAUUGUGUUAUUAGAUGUUGUGUACCUGAGCAUGAACAGGAACAAAUCUUACGCAAGUGUUACUCCGAGGCUUAUGGAGGACACCAUGCUGGAGAUAGAACUGCACAUAAGAUAUUGCAAUCCGGUUUUUAUUGGCCUACUCUCUUCAAAGAUGCCCGUAAGCUUGUCUUAUCUUCUGAUGAAUGUCAAAGAAUUGGUAAUAUUAGUAGAUGUCAAGAAAUGCCUAAGAAUUAUUCACUUGUUAUUGAACCAUUUGAUGUUUGGGGCUUUGAUUAUAUGGGACCGUUUCCUUCCUCUAAUGGAUAUACACAUAUUUUAGUUGUUGUUGAUUAAGUUACUAAGUGGGUAGAAGCUAUUCCAACUAGUAAUGUUGAUCAUAACACCUCUAUUAAGAUGCUUAAAGAAGUUAUUUUUCCGAGGUUUGGAGUCCCUAGAUAUUUAAUGACUGAUGGUGGUUCACAUUUUAUUCAUGGUGUCGGGGAUAUACCCCGCGGUAUGACCCGGCCGAAAGUAUGACCUGGCCGGGCUUGGCGUUUUCAUUGGUAACCCACCGGAGUGGCGACUCACAAGCCUGGUGACUCACGGAUGGCCCUAACGGCAAGUCAGAUAGAAGACUAGGCCCAAGGCCCAGAAGGCCGGCUCAUGUUAUGAUGGGCCGGCUUAAGAGGAAAGGGAUGACGAAUAUUUCCUUUAAGAGGAAGCAAGACCCGGACUUGUAUUCAACUUGUAAGAGAAGAUAGACUAGUCCUAGUCCUACUAGGACUCCACAUGUAACCCGCCCCUCCAACUUAUAUAAGGAGGGGCAGGGCUUCCCAAGAGGGACAAGCAACAAGAAACAAUCUCUAGGGCUAGACACAAAGGAGGAGCCGGCUUAUGCGCCGACUCUCUCAUGAGUAUAAUGAGAUCUAGCCACAGACAGUAUGUAGGGCUAUUACCGGAUGAUGUUUCCCAGGGCCCGAAGCUGUCUAAAUCAUUGUCUUGUGUUGCGUCUCUCGAUUCCGCUCAACCCCUCUCAAGCUACUACAAAGAUGCGUUGGUCUCACGACUAAGUCCUCACACUAGGACAUCUGUCGUGACAAUUCCACGACAGUUGGCGCCCACCGUGGGACUCGCGCACGGUGGUGUUGAGUUCUUGGAGGGAUCUCUCUUAAGGUUUGAGAAGUUCGGAAUUUUUGGAUGAAGAACAGAUUGGAAAGGAUAUACAUCGUCUUUAAGUUCGAGAGUCAAGAUCACGAAAAGAAAAAAAUUGCGCCGUCCGUGGGACCUUUACGCGCCGGAGUUGUGGCUUCGUCGACUUCAACUUCAGCGAGAUCGUAUCCUGCCGGUUCAUCCGUUUGGGCGUGCACAAACUUCGUCAUCGGCAAUGGUUGUGAUUUUGAUAGGAGAUGUCCUGAUAUUUCAUUGUUUAAAACAUCAUAUCAAUCAGGGCGUAUAUGGUCUUCAAUGUCCGAUGAGACGAGGCAUCAAUCUCUAGUGAAAAUCGAAGGAGGAAUUUUCUUUCGCAUGAUUAAUCGAUGCAAGAUCGGAUCGAUCUCCGGUUUCCAAAACUACAAGGCAAAAGGCUACGGCGUCGGGUCACACGCGACUGUCACGAUGUCUCCAGCAGUCAAAAAAGAAAAAAGAAAAAAGAAGGGGAACAGCCCAUGACCCGUAAGUGGAUUGGGACAGGAGACUCGGUCUCCUCCAUCGAGCCGGUCUCGCCUUCACCGAUCUCCGUGAGCCGCCGUGGCCGCGUGGCCUCACCCUGCAGCCUUCGCUGAGCUGCUUUGCCGCGUUCCACGCGCCGCCGCGGAUCCUGCGGAUCCACGCUGCCGCGGACCCCCUCGCCGUCCUCUCUACGACGUCCGCGUCGCCUCCAUGCUCCUCCUGACGCACUUGCUGGCCACGGGCUGCAAAACCACCUCACCGUGCCCGAGCUCCGCCACUUGCGAGCACACCCGCCCCCAUCGUGACUCGCCGCGUCGCGCUACCGCCGUGGCCUCGCCCUGCUGGCCAGUGCAUUUCCGCCGCACUGAUGCACUGAGACGCCGCGGUCAAACUGCCUCGCCCCGAGGCGGCCUGUUCCACAGUGGCCGAUCUCACACAGUUUCUGCUGCGAGCCGCUGUUUGCCUCUGCAAUUCUCUGUGAGCCGCUGCUCGAUUCUGUAGAGAGCCGCCUUGGCCUUACUCCGCCUCGGACCCGCCAGGUCGUUGCGACCGUGUCUCCGCUGCAUUGAGUUGCCCUGACCACGCCAAGCCACCUCACUGCACCGUACGCGCCUCUGCUGGUUGAGCCGUCGUCUUCACUGCAACCAAGUCACCGUCGCGGCCUAUUAAAAGUUUACAGCAGGAGAGUCGCCACCACGCUCCAACUUGGUCUUUCACUUGCCGGUGGGCUGUUCCGCGCGUGACCCUGUUUCUGGGUUACAUUCACUUUGAGUUGCCCUGUCUGAGCCGCUCUAUCGUUGACCGCUGAUUUUUUUGGCUAUGAACCGGCCCCUGAGCCAACGUUGCCGCUGCAGGCCCCGCUUGCCUCGCUGGAUCUCCUUUGCCUCGAGCCGCGGCAGUUCACCUCCACAGCUAUACCUGGCCAAAUCUCGGGCUUCGGGCCGGGCUUCAGGCCGGGCCAACAAAAACCCGGCAUCUACGGGACAGGCCCGAGCCCGGCCCGGCCCAACGAAUUGAUACGUUUUCCAGGCCCGAGCCCAGCCCGAGGCAAAGCCCGAAAGCCCGAAGCCCGGCCCAACGGCCCGACAUAAUUCAACAAAAACAAGUCAGUAUAGCAAAAAACAGAAGAAAACUAAGCUAUACAGAACAAGAUACUAAUAUUUGGACAACAAAACAUACACCUAUCACUUAUCAGCAAUUUGCAGUAGUAAACAGCAGCAAAUCAACACUAUUUUUGACAGCACAACAUCAUAGUUUACAGCAAAACAAUAACAGAACAACAUCCAAGUGUUCCAGUUUCAACAACAGCAAAACAACAGCAUUACAUCACUAUUUUACAGCACAGCAGCAUAGUUUUAUAGCAAAACAAUAACAGAACCCCAUAUAAAUGUUUCAGUUUCAACAACAGCAUUACAUUACAAGUUUUGACAGCACAGCAGCAUAGUGUUUGAGCAAAAGAAUAGCAGAACCACAUAUAAAUGUUUCAGUUUCAAGUCUUUCGACAUCUAAAUGUUCUAGUUACAACAAACACAAGUGCAUGAAUAAUAUUACAGUCCAUAACCAAAAUAAGACUAGUAGUUUGUUGGCUGCCAUCUCGCCAUGCCUUCUCUGAACCUUCUUCUCUUCUCAUUGCUCUAGCAACAACUCUAGAGGAUGGAAUGAAGAGAAAGUUAGCGGUAGUAUAAAGACAACUUGACAAUUGACAUGAACAAAGAAUAUAGAUGUUACAUUCUUCAUCCGAAGAUGAAUCUUCAUCAUUAUCUAGCACAACCACUUUUGCCUUUCUCUUAUUAUCUACAACAAUAGAUUGGGUUAAUUAUCAUUUGGAAGUAAAACAUACAAAUAAGAAUGUGAAACAAACAAGAUUACAACACAUACCUUCUUUUUUCUGCAGUUUGCAACGAUACCAAUCUUGCAAACACAUUAGGGCCUCAACCGUCUUUGGUUUAAGUGAG
This 20825-nucleotide long non-coding RNA is filed under the name Triticum aestivum (bread wheat). Its description in RNAcentral is "long non-coding RNA (TAES_LNC005184)". The record is from RNAcentral. Lineage: Eukaryota; Viridiplantae; Streptophyta; Magnoliopsida; Poales; Poaceae.